This 331-nucleotide long non-coding RNA is filed under the name dengue virus type 2. Its description in RNAcentral is "Dengue virus 2 partial sfRNA1". The stretch from base 243 to 314 matches the Rfam family "Flavivirus DB element". Lineage: Riboviria; Orthornavirae; Kitrinoviricota; Flasuviricetes; Amarillovirales; Flaviviridae. The record is from RNAcentral.
UAGAAGUCAGGUCGGAUUAAGCCAUAGUACGGAAAAAACUAUGCUACCUGUGAGCCCCGUCCAAGGACGUUAAAAGAAGUCAGGCCAUCACAAAUGCCAUAGCUUGAGUAAACUAUGCUGCCUGUAGCUCCACCUGAGAAGGUGUAAAAAAUCUGGGAGGCCACAAACCAUGGAAGCUGUACGCAUGGCGUAGUGGACUAGCGGUUAGAGGAGACCCCUCCCUUAUAAAUCGCAGCAACAAUGGGGGCCCAAGGCGAGAUGAAGCUGUAAUCUCGCUGGAAGGACUAGAGGUUAGAGGAGACCCCCCCGAAACAAAAACAGCAUAUGACGC